CCUACGGGAGGCAGCAGUGGGGAAUAUUGCACAAUGGGCGAAAGCCUGAUGCAGCAACGCAGCGUGAGCGAUGAAGGCCCUCGGGUCGUAAAGCUCUUUCCUCAAGGAAGAUAAUGACGGUACUUGAGGCGGAAGCCCCGGCUAACUACGUGCCAGCAGCCGCGGUAAUACGUAGGGGGCUAGCGUUAUCCGGAGUUACUGGGCGUAAAGGGUGCGUUGGUGGUUUCUAAAGUGUGUGGUGAAAGGCUACGGCUCAACCGUAGUAAGCCGUUGAAACUGGGGAACUUGAGUGCAGGAGAGGAGAGUGGAAUUCCUGGUGUAGCGGUGAAAUGCGUAGAUAUUAGGAGGAACGCCGGUUGCGAAGGCGGCUCUCUGGACUGUAACUGACACUGAGGCACGAAAGCGUGGGGAGCAAACAGGAUUAGAUACCCCAGUAGUC
Molecule: ribosomal RNA, 439 nt
Filed under: uncultured bacterium
Lineage: Bacteria
Description: partial 16S ribosomal RNA
Rfam family: Bacterial small subunit ribosomal RNA
Source: RNAcentral